This 433-nucleotide ribosomal RNA is filed under the name uncultured bacterium. RNAcentral's name for it is "partial 16S ribosomal RNA". It matches the Rfam family "Bacterial small subunit ribosomal RNA", at positions 355 to 777 of the family's 1533-position model. The record is from RNAcentral.
UGGGGAAUUUUGGACGAAUUGGGCGAAAGCCUGAUCCAGCAAUGCCGCGUGUGUGAAGAAGGCCUUCGGGUUGUAAAGCACUUUUGUCCGGAAAGAAAUCCUUGGCUCUAAUACAGUCGGGGGAUGACGGUACCGGAAGAAUAAGCACCGGCUAACUACGUGCCAGCAGCCGCGGUAAUACGUAGGGUGCAAGCGUUAAUCGGAAUUACUGGGCGUAAAGCGUGCGCAGGCGGUUUGCUAAGACCGAUGUGAAAUCCCCGGGCUCAACCUGGGAACUGCAUUGGUGACUGGCAGGCUAGAGUAUGGCAGAGGGGGGUGAGAAUUCCACGUGUAGCAGUGAAAUGCGUAGAGAUGUGGAGGAAUACCGAUGGCGAAGGCAGCCCCUGGCAAGUACUGACGCUCAUGCACGAAAAGCGUGGGGGAGCAAACNGGA